This 564-nucleotide ribosomal RNA is filed under the name Polypedates megacephalus (Hong Kong whipping frog). RNAcentral's name for it is "partial 16S ribosomal RNA". It matches the Rfam family "Bacterial large subunit ribosomal RNA", at positions 1810 to 2607 of the family's 2925-position model. Lineage: Eukaryota; Metazoa; Chordata; Amphibia; Anura; Rhacophoridae. The record is from RNAcentral.
AAAACAUCGCCUCUUGACUAUAAUAAGAGGUCCAGCCUGCCCAGUGAAUUUUAAACGGCCGCGGUAUCCUAACCGCGCGAAGGUAGCAUAAUCACUUGUUCUUUAAAUGGGGACUCGUAUCAACGGCAUCACGAGGGUUUUACUGUCUCCUCUUUUUGAUCAGUGAAAUUGAUCUUCCCGUGAAGAAGCGGGAAUAUUUAUAUAAGACGAGAAGACCCCAUGGAGCUUCAAACCAAAUAACAACUUAACCACUUAACCCAUAAUAAAUUUAAGCCAUGUUAUAAGGUUUUGGGUUGGGGUGACCGCGGAGUAAAGCACAUCCUCCACGACGGAAAGAACACAAUCUUUAUUUAAGAACUACAAUUCUAGAAAUUAGUAUACUAACGUUUACUGACCCGAUAAUCGAUCAACGGACCAAGUUACCCUGGGGAUAACAGCGCAAUCUACUUCAAGAGCUCAUAUCGACAAGUAGGCUUACGACCUCGAUGUUGGAUCAGGGUAUCCCGGUGGUGCAGCCGCUACCGAAGGUUCGUUUGUUCAACGAUUAAAACCCUACGUGAUCUG